This 643-nucleotide ribosomal RNA is filed under the name uncultured bacterium. Its description in RNAcentral is "bacterial SSU rRNA". It matches the Rfam family "Bacterial small subunit ribosomal RNA", at positions 232 to 885 of the family's 1533-position model. The record is from RNAcentral.
CGCGGCCUAUCAGCUUGUUGGUGGGGUAGUGGCUUACCAAGGCUUUGACGGGUAGCCGGCCUGAGAGGGUGACCGGCCACAUUGGGACUGAGAUACGGCCCAGACUCCUACGGGAGGCAGCAGUGGGGAAUAUUGCACAAUGGGCGGAAGCCUGAUGCAGCAACGCCGCGUGCGGGAUGACGGCCUUCGGGUUGUAAACCGCUUUCGCCUGUGACGAAGCGUGAGUGACGGUAAUGGGUAAAGAAGCACCGGCUAACUACGUGCCAGCAGCCGCGGUGAUACGUAGGGUGCGAGCGUUGUCCGGAUUUAUUGGGCGUAAAGGGCUCGUAGGUGGUUGAUCGCGUCGGAAGUGUAAUCUUGGGGCUUAACCCUGAGCGUGCUUUCGAUACGGGUUGACUUGAGGAAGGUAGGGGAGAAUGGAAUUCCAGGUGGAGCGGUGGAAUGCGCAGAUAUCAGGAGGAACACCAGUGGCGAAGGCGGUUCUCUGGGCCUUUCCUGACGCUGAGGAGCGAAAGCGUGGGGAGCGAACAGGCUUAGAUACCCUGGCAGUCCACGCUGUAAACGGUGGGUACUAGGUGUGGGGUCCAUUCCACGGGUUCCGUGCCGUAGCUAACGCUUUAAGUACCCCGCCUGGGGAGUACGG